CCAUUUUUAAUUUUUUUUGUGGAACAUUCUUUGUUGAGUGUUGCCUUCUACUCCUUGGGAAAGCACUGAUUAUAACACUACCUUUAUUUCCACGCAAGACCAGGUUCCAGCUGCCCUCAUUACUGACUUAAAAUAGUCUAAGAGAAAAGUUGUGAAUAAAAUUCAAUACCUAAAAUGUGCGGUUUGCAUCGUGAUGCAUCGGAAAUGAAUCUGAUUAGGAACCAUGAGGUUUCGGGUUUGAUCCCUGGCUUUGCUCAGUGGGCCAUGAGCUGUGGUGUAGGUUGCAGCUCGAAUCUGACAUUGCUGUGGCUCUGGUGUAGGCCAGCGGAUACAGCUCCAAUUAGACCCCUAGCCUGGAAACGUCCAUAUGCCGCAGGUGCGGCCCUAAAAAGACAAAACAAAACGUUUGGAGUUCACAAAAAUCAUUCUAAUUAGGGAAGAGGGGCAUCAAAAGGGAAUGUAAUCGAGAUUUGUAAAAAUUAACAUUUUCAAACCCCAAACAAAGUCAGGGCAUUCAGAGGUUCACUAAAGGCAGGAGAAUAUAGCUUCAUAGGUGAACAGGCCAAAGUGGCAGGAACCCUGCUCAGAAAGCGCUGGGGGACCUAGGAAGGAUGGAAGAUGCUGAGCGUGUCUUGAGGGAUUGAGUUCACAAGGUCCCUGGGCUGUUCUAUGUGGGACCUUUGGGAGAAGCCUGACCUCAUGUUGGGGGACCCCCACUUGAUGCAAAACCUGCUCCUCCUGUUUAUCUGUGUGUCACUUUUGCUAAAACUUAGAUGACUACCCUCGGUUUUUAUUUUUUAUUGAAGUGUAAUUGCUUUACAAUAUUAUAUUAGUUUCAGGUAUACAAUAUAAUGAUUCAGUAUUUUUCUGAAGAGUUAUUACAGAUAAUGGCUAUAUUUCCCUUGGAUUUAACUGUCUUUUGUAAUUCCAACCUGUAUCACAUCAAAUUCAUAGUCUAUUGAACUCACCCUCUCUCUGUAUCUGGAUAGUGUCUGUAACUUAAUUGGUAGUAGAGCCCCAGGUUUUGAAAUUGCAAAUAUAAAAUUGUGAAUAUUUGACUGUUCUUAACUAACAAAGAUAGCAAACAGUAUGGUUCAACUUAAUAGAGUAAAAAGUUCUUAAACCAAAUUCGUAGUCUGAAGAAUUAAGGAGAGAGUUUUCAGAAUUAAAAAAAAUAUAUAUAGUCAAGGGAAAGAAAGAUCAUUAGAAGGAAGAAGUGGGUUUAUUUUAGAAAGCUUCGAUUUUCUUACAUUUCUCUGUUGCUGUCUCCCUGCAGGCCAACAUUCUCAGAUAUUACAGCUCAUUUUAUUUCUGUCCCAAUUGAAAGAAGAGCCACAGUGUUCUGUGUAUCAAAUGUUGGGUACAUGCUUUGAGACUGACCAGUUGUCCAUGUUGGUGGUGGGUGAGGCUGGCCAGGCUGUGGUCACCCAGUUCCCAAAAAGGUUAAUCAGCCAUUUUUUUUCUUUAUUCUUUUUCUUUUUCUGGCUAGAACACUGGACAGUCAUGAGAAUAACUGAAGGAGAAAAUGCUGUUAGAUCCCUCCCAUUGUAGCAGCUUUGGUUGAAUGUAGCUAAUGAAAGUUAAAGUGUGGAGUUUAGGGUGGGCUGGGGAAGGGGUGUUUGCAAUGGUGGUGGGACCUGCUAGGAUGGGAAGCUUUAGUUGCUACUUAUUCUUAGCAUGUACAUGGGGCUAGAGCAGAAGGAACUCUAAAGGGACACACUCUCCCCAUCAUCCUUCUGGCCAGGUCUGCACAGGGUGAGUGUGUCCUGAGCUGGGAAGCUGGGACCUGCUUGCCGGGCCCCCCUUGCCCCCUGGGUCCCGCCUCAGAUGCCCCGCGAUGGGCAAAGACUUUUGUCUGAACUCAGAACUUCAUCAGUGGCCCCAACAAGAGGCUAGAAACAGCACCCCAAAGAAAGGUGUUGGGCAUCAAGGAGAUAGAAACACAGUAAAUGAGGCAAGGGAAGUUCUGCAUGCGGAUGGGAAACAGAACACAUAUGACUAUGGAGACGCAAGGCAGGCACAGCUGGGAACAAGCCUAAAUGUGAAUUGAACCUCCAGGGGCCCGGGCUAAGGCAGGGCUUGUCCUGAGGGGAUCAGUCCUAAACGGUACUCAGGGCCUGUUCAAAAGGAGCCUACAGAAUUGGUGCAGGUGAAGGCAGGAGGCCAGCUCUGCUUGGACACUGUUCACUCCGGCUCUUAGCCUAGCUUCCCCAUCACGCCAGUGGCCAGAGGUGCAUCUUGAGUGGUGCCUGGUAAACGUCCACAUGCAGCUUGCUCGGCCGCUCAUGAUGCUGGCACAGGUGCCAGGCUGCGUGUGAGAUGCGCUGUGCCAGGUGCCCAUGAGAGUCUGGGGCACAGGACUGGGACAGGGCCCGGUGAGAAGGGGGCUCAAGACAGUGGCGAUGAAGAUGAAGGGAGAGCAGGUCGACUCCAGAUUGAGAAGAGGGGCCACAAAUUGCGACAGGUCCUUUAAGCAGACCGUGAGGGUGACACCAUCCUUAGUGUUUUAUACUGUACUGAACACUGACAAAUUUAGCUGGGAAUAAAGUGAGAAUUGAAAACCUUUAUAUUAAUUCUUAUUCAGUAUAAAUAUGCAGUGAAGUUCUUUAAGAAAAAAAAAUAUUCAGAUGCGCUUGACAGCCGCCUGCAGAAUGCCCUCUGGUUUAGUCGGCAUCUUAGCAACCAGAACCAGCCUCCGUCAGCGCGUGCACGGAGACGACGUUAAUUGUCCAUGUGGCACUGUGAUCCCCUGGUGUGCCUCUGCAUCAUCGAAAGAAGAUUGAAUUACGAGGAGAGUAGCGCCUUCGAAGUGUGGUUUGUUGUAUUCUGAUUCUUCCAACAUUGAUCAUCUGUGCGUGGCGGGCGUGCUGAUAUUUGCCUGGACAGAAUGUUGCACCCCCAGCCUUCCAGAAUGAAUUUAUUACGCCGUGAACUGGUCAGACUCUGGAGAUUAGACUUGGUUUUCUCUCUCUUGCUGAGAGAGACACGAAAGGUCCACAUCCUCAGGGUUGUGAGACAGACACCGUUCAGACACUUUGGUUUAUUUGCAAAAUGCGAACACUCGAUUUGUUUUCUCUCUGUCUCUCACACAAAAUAGAACUAUAGAUUUAGAGCUGGUAGGGAGCUGGGGGGUGUUUGGGCUGCCUGAGUUGUAGCAGUGAGGAAGCCAGGGUGCAGGGGAGUCGUUGUCACUUGCCUGGAGCCACUGGUGUGUUUAUUGUCCAAGGACAGUGUAGUUGGUAAAAGGCACAGGAGGCGGGUCGCCAGGUUGUAGGUCUCCUUUUGCAAUAACUCUCUGUGCCUCCAGUGGGCUCCUCAACCCCUACACGUCGGCUUCCGGGGUUGCCAUAGAGGACCAGUUUCCGAGCCACCAGGGUCAUGGCCACUGCAUUCCCUGUAUGAUGGCUGGUAUGGCUUGGGCAUCCUGUUCACAUAGCUCCUAUAGACACUGGCGUAAACACCAGACCUGGGGUCCACAGGGUCCAUGUCCCAGCCCAGGAAAGUGUCUUUCCUGGCUUGUCAUGUGAGAGGCAGAAGCCUGUGGUCCCCGUACAGGGCUCCAGAUCCCCAGUAUGCAGUCGCGCCCACCCAGAGGCUGCUGAGAUGGAGACCGUCCUGCUGUGCUCCGCAGAAGCCGAUCCCAGGAGGGUGGGAUUCUCAUCUCCUAUAACCAGGAGGCAGCUCGCGGUGAACAUGGAGUGGGCGUUAUCUGAAGGCGAAAUGGAUGAUCUUCCUGGAUUCCAGUGAAACUGCAUGGGCUGUGUGUACAGUCUUAUUGGAUGUGACAGCUUUGCAGUCACUUCCCUCUCUGCUUCCCAUCUUCAGUUCUGUUAUUAUUUCAGUCCCACUGGCCUGCUGGCUUUAGCUUUCUCAUCUGCAGUGUGGAGGGUGCUGGCUGCAAUUUUCAGCUCCUUCCCCGUGGUUCACAUGUCAGCUUUGCCAUUUUGUUAUGAAAGGAAACUUGGGUUCCUCGCUUCAGACGUGAGCUUGUGACUUCUGAUGUGAUGUGUAAGACCCUCUUUUCUAGAUAUUCUCCAUCAGCGGUGAGUGGAAACAACCGGAUUUGGUCUCUUGAGGUAUGGCCUUACACAUCAAGAGGUGGAUUGAACUGAUUUUGCUUCUGAAGCAUCACUUGCUCAUCAGCAGGGGGCACAUGCCUGUCAGCUCUGAGGGAAGUUGACCCCGGGCUGUGGAAGUGAAUUUCACACCUGCUGAGCUGGGGUCCGACCCUGAGAUGGUGUCAUGUCCCAGCUGUCCUAGACACACGUUACUCCAGCCAGCACUGACACCCUGCCCUGUUCAUGAUCCUAGGCAUGAUCAUGAACCUGGGGUGAUGCAUCUGACUGCACCCCCUUCUUUGUACCAGUUGUUGAAAGUGCAGAUUCAGGCAUGUGGCUGUUCUACUCACCCUUUGAUGCUGCCAUUGUAAGGCGAGGACUUGCAGCACCUCACGCUGGCUUCCUAGGACCACAGCCAUGGCCUCACCUUCAACUUCACUGCACCCCGAAUGCCCUGCUCAUAGCUUCCCAUUGGCCCUCCCCUGGCCUGAGCACCAUGUUUUGACACCACUCUCUCUGGAGACUGGGACUCCCUCCCGCCUAGACUCUCGCUUCCAGGCCUUGACCCUUUGUUCCUGGAAUUUGGGCAUCUUAGUUUCACGGCAUCGGCUUCGUGCCACACAUGACCUGUAUAUCCCUCUCGUGGAACUGUGCUCUGGGCGGGCAAGGCCCGCUUGUCCAUUCUGACCUCCCUGGUGAUCCUGACCUCACAGUAGCCGGCAGCCCCUCCUGGAGGCUGUUUGGGUCCAUCCUCUGUCUGCAGUGGCCCCAAGGAGAGUGUGGCAUCUUGUUUGUGGUGGAGUGGUGCCCAGGAGAGCGGGGAUGGUCCCUUGUUUUAUCAUCUGUCUGGUCCCCACAUCAUCUGUAACCAUAGCAACAGCUAGUAACAGUAGCAGUGCCUCAAACAACAGUGUUUAAUGUGAACAUCUUGUGCUUCCACCAAGUUUCUGAGUUGAAAGGGCUGUGUGAAUGGAAAAUAAUAUCCUGGCCUUUUUGGAUGGGCUAGAGUUGAUGUUUGGGCUGAGGUUUGGUGGGUUCAGGAUUCUGAGAAGUGCUCCUUGUGGCUUCUGGCUCUGAGUGUCUCGUGUUGGUAUAGUGAUUGGCAUCCAUGUCCUGGGCCUCUUUAUGAAUCUGUAUUGCUGUGGAGGAGCAGGAAAGGGCUCAGCCGCUUCUGCUGCUGGAUGGCCGAGAGCGUGGUAGCAAGCUGUCAACUCCCACCUCAUCUACAUCCAUGGCCAGCUUCCCAGGAAGCAGUGGCUCAGGUCCCUGUGGGUUUCCCACUCACUACCAGGGUCCCCAUGCCUGGCGGCUGUAGAAGGAGCAGAGCCUGGGGCCCAGGAUGCCACCUCCUCCAGACUGCCCUGGAGUGUAGGGGCCACAUGACCCCACCUGCAGCUGGGCCGGUCCCUGCCUUGGCCUGGGGCUGUGUCGGGAGGGAGGAGGGGCCUGAUGGGGCACAUUCAGUGUAGGACACAGCUUAGGUGCUUCAGGGCUCAGCACUGAGGCAGAGUGGGGGGUUGUGGGGGCUGUGAGGGGACAGCAUGGGGACAGUGUGGGGCACUGGCCUCGGGAGCCCUCACUCCUUCCAGGGGAAAUCUGGGGGCACGGAAGCUGAAAGCUGUGGAGACCACAUGCCUUUGCCACGGCCCUGGAGUCCUUCCUUCUGAGAAUGCAGUUCUGCCUGUUCCCGCCAUGGCCGAGCCCACCGGAAAUCGGAAUUUCACAGCCCUGCCCGUGACCUCAAAAGCACAUGCACUCAGGGCUGAGGCUGCCCCUUCUUCCAGAAUGUGCUGUCCUCAUCGGGCACCUCCUGGUCUGGCCGACUAGAUACUGUGCGUGCUGUUCCGUCUGUAUCUUCCUCGGUUUGAGUGUUUGCUGUGGGUACGCAUAAUUAUUUAGUUGGCGGAAAUUCUCUUUUUUUCAGAGGAUUUAUUUGAGAAAUAUAUUUUGGUGCAUGUAUCACUGGCACAAGUUCCUAAUUUUUCAUUUGUGAGUUUAGUUUUUUAAAAAUCUAGAGUUCCCGGAGUUCCCGUCAUGGCUCAGUGGUUAACAAAUCUGACUAGGAACCAUGAGGUUGUGGGUUCGAUCCCUGGCCUUGCUCAGUGGGUUAAGGAUCUGGCGUUGCUGUGAGCUGUGGUGUGGGCUGCAGACGUGGCUCAGACCCCAAGUUGCUGUGGCUCUGGUGUAGGCCGGUGGCUACAGCUCCGAUUGGACCCCUAGCCUGGGAACCUC
RNAcentral lists this long non-coding RNA (6290 nucleotides) under Sus scrofa (pig). Its description in RNAcentral is "lncRNA (ENSSSCG00005025792.1)". The record is from RNAcentral. Lineage: Eukaryota; Metazoa; Chordata; Mammalia; Artiodactyla; Suidae.